UGCGCGUGCUAUACAUGCAGUCGAGCGGACAGAAGGGAGCUUGCUCCCGGAUGUUAGCGGCGGACGGGUGAGUAACACGUGGGUAACCUGCCUGUAAGACUGGGAUAACUCCGGGAAACCGGAGCUAAUACCGGAUAGUUCCUUGAACCGCAUGGUUCAAGGAUGAAAGACGGUUUCGGCUGUCACUUACAGAUGGACCCGCGGCGCAUUAGCUAGUUGGUGGGGUAAUGGCUCACCAAGGCAACGAUGCGUAGCCGACCUGAGAGGGUGAUCGGCCACACUGGGACUGAGACACGGCCCAGACUCCUACGGGAGGCAGCAGUAGGGAAUCUUCCGCAAUGGACGAAAGUCUGACGGAGCAACGCCGCGUGAGUGAUGAAGGUUUUCGGAUCGUAAAGCUCUGUUGUUAGGGAAGAACAAGUGCGAGAGUAACUGCUCGCACCUUGACGGUACCUAACCAGAAAGCCACGGCUAACUACGUGCCAGCAGCCGCGGUAAUACGUAGGUGGCAAGCGUUGUCCGGAAUUAUUGGGCGUAAAGGGCUCGCAGGCGGUUUCUUAAGUCUGAUGUGAAAGCCCCCGGCUCAACCGGGGAGGGUCAUUGGAAACUGGGAAACUUGAGUGCAGAAGAGGAGAGUGGAAUUCCACGUGUAGCGGUGAAAUGCGUAGAGAUGUGGAGGAACACCAGUGGCGAAGGCGACUCUCUGGUCUGUAACUGACGCUGAGGAGCGAAAGCGUGGGGAGCGAACAGGAUUAGAUACCCUGGUAGUCCACGCCGUAAACGAUGAGUGCUAAGUGUUAGGGGGUUUCCGCCCCUUAGUGCUGCAGCUAACGCAUUAAGCACUCCGCCUGGGGAGUACGGUCGCMAGACUGAAACUCAAAGUG
This 884-nucleotide ribosomal RNA is filed under the name Bacillus pumilus. Its description in RNAcentral is "bacterial SSU rRNA". It matches the Rfam family "Bacterial small subunit ribosomal RNA", at positions 38 to 908 of the family's 1533-position model. The record is from RNAcentral. Lineage: Bacteria; Bacillati; Bacillota; Bacilli; Caryophanales; Bacillaceae.